Non-coding RNA from Onthophagus taurus, 876 nucleotides. NCBI's taxonomy places the organism in Eukaryota, Metazoa, Arthropoda, Insecta, Coleoptera, Scarabaeidae. The record is from RefSeq and is a predicted model, not a curated record.
AGUUCAGUUGGAAGCAAAUAGGAAGUAGUAAUAGGAAGUGGUCUAUUUGAAGUCACUGAGACAAUUUGGGAUGUACUAUGAGUAAUUGAGAAGUACUAAAAGCAUGUAAAUAAUAAGUACAUUGCAAAUCUAGCUCAAAUGUUGACUUUAAACUUAAUAUUUUGUUAACAAAGUAUUGUUUGGAAUAUGAUAUGGAGCUGAGAAACUUUUGUUGUCGAACAAUUUUGGUCAAAGAAUUUUAUAACUCCCUGCUUGGAAUUUUAUUAGAAUGUAGGCGAAAAAACGAGACAUUCUCAAUUUUUCAAGCAACCAGAUGAUUUAGUAUAUUGCUCAGAUUUGCUGGUUUGAUUAAGAAGAAAAAGGAAUGAGUAGAGGCUAAUUAAAGAUUAAGGGCCGUUCUCUUACACUAUGAUAACAUUUAUUAAUCAUUGUUUGUUGCUCAUUCUGUAUAAAUAAAGGAAGAAUAUGAAAAUCUUGAUAUAGUUUAAAAAGAGAACAUUCUGUGUAAGAAGUCACGAAAAACGUUCCAUUGCCACCUUUACACAUAAAUUUAGGACUAAUAAAACAGUUUGGAAAGUCUUAGCUAAGGAGAAACAAUGUUUUAAGUAUAUUUGCAAGAUAAUUUUUCAUCUGUCAGAAGUAAAAUUAGAAGAAAUUGUGUUUAUUGAGAUAUAAAUGAUAAACUUUUUAAACAGUCAGCUUGACAAGACAUCAAAGUGAUGGAAAGAGCUGUUAGAGAGAUUGUUGGUCAUUACAUGGAGAUGUUCAUUAAGGGACUCAUAGGAGAAAGAGUUAUAUUACAAGCUUUCAGGAAGCAUUUUUACAUAAUAUUUUAAUUAAAACUUUCUAAGAAUUCAAGAAAAAAAUUCUAAGAAA